GGGUUGUGAGGUUAAGCGACUAAGCGUACACGGUGGAUGCCCUGGCAGUCAGAGGCGAUGAAGGGCGUGCUAAUCUGCGAUAAGCGCCGGUAAGGUGAUAUGAACCGUUAUAACCGGCGAUACCCGAAUGGGGAAACCCAGUGUGACUCGUCACACUAUCAUUAACUGAAUCCAUAGGUUAAUGAGGCGAACCGGGGGAACUGAAACAUCUAAGUACCCCGAGGAAAAGAAAUCAACCGAGAUUCCCCCAGUAGCGGCGAGCGAACGGGGAGGAGCCCAGAGCCUGAAUCAGCAUGUGUGUUAGUGGAAGCGUCUGGAAAGGCGCGCGAUACAGGGUGACAGCCCCGUACACAAAAGCGCAUAUGCUGUGAGCUCGAUGAGUAGGGCGGGACACGUGGUAUCCUGUCUGAAUAUGGGGGGACCAUCCUCCAAGGCUAAAUACUCCUGACUGACCGAUAGUGAACCAGUACCGUGAGGGAAAGGCGAAAAGAACCCCGGCGAGGGGAGUGAAAAAGAACCUGAAACCGUGUACGUACAAGCAGUGGGAGCACCCUUUGGGGUGUGACUGCGUACCUUUUGUAUAAUGGGUCAGCGACUUAUAUUCUGUAGCAAGGUUAACCGAAUAGGGGAGCCGGAGGGAAACCGAGUCUUAAUUGGGCGUUAAGUUGCAGGGUAUAGACCCGAAACCCGGUGAUCUAGCCAUGGGCAGGUUGAAGGUUGGGUAACACUAACUGGAGGACCGAACCGACUAAUGUUGAAAAAUUAGCGGAUGACCUGUGGCUGGGGGUGAAAGGCCAAUCAAACCGGGAGAUAGCUGGUUCUCCCCGAAAGCUAUUUAGGUAGCGCCUCGUGAAUUCAUCUCCGGGGGUAGAGCACUGUUUCGGCUAGGGGGCCAUCCCGGCUUACCAACCCGAUGCAAACUGCGAAUACCGGAGAAUGUUAUCACGGGAGACACACGGCGGGUGCUAACGUCCGUCGUGAAGAGGGAAACAACCCAGACCGCCAGCUAAGGUCCCAAAGUCAUGGUUAAGUGGGAAACGAUGUGGGAAGGCCCAGACAGCCAGGAUGUUGGCUUAGAAGCAGCCAUCAUUUAAAGAAAGCGUAAUAGCUCACUGGUCGAGUCGGCCUGCGCGGAAGAUGUAACGGGGCUAAACCAUGCACCGAAGCUGCGGCAGCGAACGUAUCACUUAAAGCGAUUCAGCGGAUGACGAUUGACGGAGCGAAGCGACGUCAAAGCGUAUACAAAGUCGAGUCGGUUUAAGGAUACGUUCGUUGGGUAGGGGAGCGUUCUGUAAGCCUGUGAAGGUGUGCUGUGAGGCAUGCUGGAGGUAUCAGAAGUGCGAAUGCUGACAUAAGUAACGAUAAAGCGGGUGAAAAGCCCGCUCGCCGGAAGACCAAGGGUUCCUGUCCAACGUUAAUCGGGGCAGGGUGAGUCGACCCCUAAGGCGAGGCCGAAAGGCGUAGUCGAUGGGAAACGGGUUAAUAUUCCCGUACUUGGUGUUACUGCGAAGGGGGGACGGAGAAGGCUAUGUUGGCCGGGCGACGGUUGUCCCGGUUUAAGCGUGUAGGUGUGUGUUCCAGGUAAAUCCGGUUCACUUUAACACUGAGGCGUGACGACGAGGCACUACGGUGCUGAAGCAACAAAUGCCCUGCUUCCAGGAAAAGCCUCUAAGCAUCAGGUAACAUCAAAUCGUACCCCAAACCGACACAGGUGGUCAGGUAGAGAAUACCAAGGCGCUUGAGAGAACUCGGGUGAAGGAACUAGGCAAAAUGGUGCCGUAACUUCGGGAGAAGGCACGCUGACACGUAGGUGAAGUGAUUUACUCAUGGAGCUGAAGUCAGUCGAAGAUACCAGCUGGCUGCAACUGUUUAUUAAAAACACAGCACUGUGCAAACACGAAAGUGGACGUAUACGGUGUGACGCCUGCCCGGUGCCGGAAGGUUAAUUGAUGGGGUCAGCGCAAGCGAAGCUCCUGAUCGAAGCCCCGGUAAACGGCGGCCGUAACUAUAACGGUCCUAAGGUAGCGAAAUUCCUUGUCGGGUAAGUUCCGACCUGCACGAAUGGCGUAAUGAUGGCCAGGCUGUCUCCACCCGAGACUCAGUGAAAUUGAACUCGCUGUGAAGAUGCAGUGUACCCGCGGCAAGACGGAAAGACCCCGUGAACCUUUACUAUAGCUUGACACUGAACAUUGAGCCUUGAUGUGUAGGAUAGGUGGGAGGCUUUGAAGUGUGGACGCCAGUCUGCAUGGAGCCGACCUUGAAAUACCACCCUUUAAUGUUUGAUGUUCUAACGUGGACCCGUGAUCCGGGUUGCGGACAGUGUCUGGUGGGUAGUUUGACUGGGGCGGUCUCCUCCUAAAGAGUAACGGAGGAGCACGAAGGUUGGCUAAUCCUGGUCGGACAUCAGGAGGUUAGUGCAAUGGCAUAAGCCAGCUUGACUGCGAGCGUGACGGCGCGAGCAGGUGCGAAAGCAGGUCAUAGUGAUCCGGUGGUUCUGAAUGGAAGGGCCAUCGCUCAACGGAUAAAAGGUACUCCGGGGAUAACAGGCUGAUACCGCCCAAGAGUUCAUAUCGACGGCGGUGUUUGGCACCUCGAUGUCGGCUCAUCACAUCCUGGGGCUGAAGUAGGUCCCAAGGGUAUGGCUGUUCGCCAUUUAAAGUGGUACGCGAGCUGGGUUUAGAACGUCGUGAGACAGUUCGGUCCCUAUCUGCCGUGGGCGCUGGAGAACUGAGGGGGGCUGCUCCUAGUACGAGAGGACCGGAGUGGACGCAUCACUGGUGUUCGGGUUGUCAUGCCAAUGGCACUGCCCGGUAGCUAAAUGCGGAAGAGAUAAGUGCUGAAAGCAUCUAAGCACGAAACUUGCCCCGAGAUGAGUUCUCCCUGAGACUUAAAGUCUCCUGAAGGAACGUUGAAGACGACGACGUUGAUAGGCCGGGUGUGUAAGCGCAGCGAUGCGUUGAGCUAACCGGUACUAAUGAACCGUGAGGCUUAACCUUACAACGCCGAAG
RNAcentral lists this ribosomal RNA (3008 nucleotides) under Salmonella enterica. RNAcentral describes it as "23S ribosomal RNA". It matches the Rfam family "Bacterial large subunit ribosomal RNA". The record is from RNAcentral. Lineage: Bacteria; Pseudomonadati; Pseudomonadota; Gammaproteobacteria; Enterobacterales; Enterobacteriaceae.